RNAcentral lists this transfer RNA (73 nucleotides) under Candidatus Faecimorpha stercoravium. RNAcentral describes it as "tRNA-Ala". It matches the Rfam family "tRNA". Rfam says of the family: Transfer RNA (tRNA) molecules are approximately 80 nucleotides in length. Lineage: Bacteria; Bacillati; Bacillota; Clostridia; Eubacteriales. The record is from RNAcentral. RNAcentral also lists the same sequence under 1 other name.
GGGCUCGUGGCUCAGCUGGGAGAGCGCCGCGUUCGCAUCGCGGAGGCCGAGGGUUCGAAUCCCUUCGAGUCCA